UUAUGUUUUUGUUUAUUUAGAUGAUAUUCUGAUAUUCUCCCCGGAUGAGGAGACUCACAUUAUUCAUGUCCGCUCUGUUUUGCAGCAGUUACUGCAGAAUCAACUCUAUGUCAAGGCUGAGAAAUCCCCAGAAUCCACAGUUCCAGCGGCAUUAACCUUGGUGAGACGCUGCAGGAGGACCUGGGAGCGAGCCCGCCAGAUGCUGCUGCGCCAGGGACGGUCCUACAAAGCCGCUGCUGACCGUCGGAGGACACCGGCCCCGAACUACAAAGUGGGUCAGCGAGUUUGGCUUUCGACCAAACAUAUUCCACUCCGGGUGGAGUCCAAGAAGCUCGCUCCCAGGUUCGUUGGGCCCUUCCCCAUCACAAAAAUAAUCAACCCUGUCACCGUGAAGCUGAGGCUCCCAAGGUCUAUGCGGGUCCACCCUACUUUUCACGUCAGCCUACUCAAGCCAGCCCGGGAGUCCCCUCUGGUCCCGCCUUCCAGGCCCCCUCCUCCCCCCCGGUUUGUGGAUGGGGGCCCUGUCUUCUCUGUGAAGCGGCUGUUGUCAUCUCGUCGGAGGGGCAGGGGGUUUCAAUAUCUGGUGGACUGGGAGGGCUAUGGGCCUGAGGAGCGUUCCUGGGUACCGUCUGCGUUUAUCGUGGAUGAUUCGCUCAUUCGGGACUUCCACGUUGCGCAUCCAGGGGCCCCAGGGCCGUCUGGGGCCGGCCGUUAAGGGGGGGGGUACUGUCAUAUGUGUGUGUGUUCCGGGUUUUGUCUUCCCCCCUGUUUCACACACACCUGCUCAUGUGAGCAUCUUCAUCACCUGUGCCUCGUUCACCCUAAUUACCCCUUGUAUAUAACCUCGUGUCUCAUUUCCUCUCGUUGCCAGUUCGUUGUACCUUGUCGUCGCGUUCCAGCAUUCCUUGUUUCCACGUCAUAGAUUCACAGUAAGACCUGACCCUGUUCCGAUUAUCGAUCUUGUCUCUUUGCCUCAUGUUUUUGGAUACUGUUGCCUCUUUUGGAUUGCCUGCCUGUGUACCGACCUAUGCCCGUCUAUUAAACCUCUCUUUUUGGAAACUGUCAA
Long non-coding RNA from Phyllopteryx taeniolatus (common seadragon), 1066 nucleotides. RefSeq lists it as uncharacterized. The record is from RefSeq and is a predicted model, not a curated record. NCBI's taxonomy places the organism in Eukaryota, Metazoa, Chordata, Actinopteri, Syngnathiformes, Syngnathidae. The transcript has 2 exons.